CCUACGGGGGGCAGCAGUGGGGAAUAUUGCACAAUGGGGGAAACCCUGAUGCAGCAACGCCGCGUGAGCGAAGAAGGCCUUCGGGUCGUAAAGCUCUGUCCUAAGGGAAGAAGCAUGACGGUACCUUAGGAGGAAGCCCCGGCUAACUACGUGCCAGCAGCCGCGGUAAUACGUAGGGGGCGAGCGUUAUGCGGAAUCACUGGGCGUAAAGGGUGCGUAGGCGGCCGAUUAAGCCAGGGGUGAAAGGCUACGGCUCAACCGUAGUAAGCCCUUGGAACUGAUUGGCUUGAGUGCAGGAGAGGAGGGUGGAAUUCCUAGUGUAGCGGUGAAAUGCGAGGAAAUGAGGAGUAACACCAGGAGCCAAGGCGACUCUCUGGACUGUAACUGACGCUGUGGCACGAAAGCGUGUGGAGCGAACAGGAUUAGAUACCCUUGUAGUC
This 440-nucleotide ribosomal RNA is filed under the name uncultured bacterium. RNAcentral's name for it is "bacterial SSU rRNA". It matches the Rfam family "Bacterial small subunit ribosomal RNA", at positions 338 to 795 of the family's 1533-position model. The record is from RNAcentral.